CAGAUUCUGGCAUGUGUGUGUCAACUUCCUCCUCCUCUGGGCACAAGUGAUGUCCUCUUUCUGUCCAGUUUCUAUUUUCCCUAACUGAGUGUGUCCCUUCUGGGAAAGCCAUCUGACAAUUCCAUCAUGAAAGCUCCUACUGGGAAAAAUCUGAGAUUCCUACC
Cyprinus carpio (common carp) is the source of this 164-nucleotide long non-coding RNA. RefSeq lists it as uncharacterized. NCBI's taxonomy places the organism in Eukaryota, Metazoa, Chordata, Actinopteri, Cypriniformes, Cyprinidae. The record is from RefSeq and is a predicted model, not a curated record. The transcript is spliced from 2 exons.